AGAGUUGGCUGAGCAGUCGCCGUUUUAUUGUAAUGAUAAAAGGGAGGAAAGUCCGGGCUUCAUUGGGCAGGGUGCUAGGUAAUGCCUAGGGGGCGUGAGCCUACGACAAGUGCCACAGAAAAUAUACCGCCUAUCACCAUGAUAGGUAAGGGUGAAAUGGUGCGGUAAGAGCGCACCGCGCAGCUGGUAACAGGUGUGGCAGGGUAAACUCCACUCGAAGCAAGAUCAAAUAGAGAAGCAGACGCGUGGCCCGCGCGGCUUCUGGGUAGAUUGCUUGAGCGUUCGGGUGACUGAACGCCUAGAUGAAUGGCUGCUCUCGACAGAACCCGGCUUAUAGGCCGACUCUUUCU
This 350-nucleotide RNase P RNA is filed under the name Methylococcaceae bacterium. RNAcentral describes it as "RNase P RNA component class A". It matches the Rfam family "Bacterial RNase P class A". From Rfam's summary of the family: Ribonuclease P (RNase P) is a ubiquitous endoribonuclease, found in archaea, bacteria and eukarya as well as chloroplasts and mitochondria. Its best characterised activity is the generation of mature 5'-ends of tRNAs by cleaving the 5'-leader elements of precursor-tRNAs. Lineage: Bacteria; Pseudomonadati; Pseudomonadota; Gammaproteobacteria; Methylococcales; Methylococcaceae. The record is from RNAcentral.